RNAcentral lists this ribosomal RNA (2904 nucleotides) under Escherichia coli. RNAcentral describes it as "bacterial LSU rRNA". It matches the Rfam family "Bacterial large subunit ribosomal RNA". The record is from RNAcentral. Lineage: Bacteria; Pseudomonadati; Pseudomonadota; Gammaproteobacteria; Enterobacterales; Enterobacteriaceae.
UUAAGCGACUAAGCGUACACGGUGGAUGCCCUGGCAGUCAGAGGCGAUGAAGGACGUGCUAAUCUGCGAUAAGCGUCGGUAAGGUGAUAUGAACCGUUAUAACCGGCGAUUUCCGAAUGGGGAAACCCAGUGUGUUUCGACACACUAUCAUUAACUGAAUCCAUAGGUUAAUGAGGCGAACCGGGGGAACUGAAACAUCUAAGUACCCCGAGGAAAAGAAAUCAACCGAGAUUCCCCCAGUAGCGGCGAGCGAACGGGGAGCAGCCCAGAGCCUGAAUCAGUGUGUGUGUUAGUGGAAGCGUCUGGAAAGGCGCGCGAUACAGGGUGACAGCCCCGUACACAAAAAUGCACAUGCUGUGAGCUCGAUGAGUAGGGCGGGACACGUGGUAUCCUGUCUGAAUAUGGGGGGACCAUCCUCCAAGGCUAAAUACUCCUGACUGACCGAUAGUGAACCAGUACCGUGAGGGAAAGGCGAAAAGAACCCCGGCGAGGGGAGUGAAAAAGAACCUGAAACCGUGUACGUACAAGCAGUGGGAGCACGCUUAGGCGUGUGACUGCGUACCUUUUGUAUAAUGGGUCAGCGACUUAUAUUCUGUAGCAAGGUUAACCGAAUAGGGGAGCCGAAGGGAAACCGAGUCUUAACUGGGCGUUAAGUUGCAGGGUAUAGACCCGAAACCCGGUGAUCUAGCCAUGGGCAGGUUGAAGGUUGGGUAACACUAACUGGAGGACCGAACCGACUAAUGUUGAAAAAUUAGCGGAUGACUUGUGGCUGGGGGUGAAAGGCCAAUCAAACCGGGAGAUAGCUGGUUCUCCCCGAAAGCUAUUUAGGUAGCGCCUCGUGAAUUCAUCUCCGGGGGUAGAGCACUGUUUCGGCAAGGGGGUCAUCCCGACUUACCAACCCGAUGCAAACUGCGAAUACCGGAGAAUGUUAUCACGGGAGACACACGGCGGGUGCUAACGUCCGUCGUGAAGAGGGAAACAACCCAGACCGCCAGCUAAGGUCCCAAAGUCAUGGUUAAGUGGGAAACGAUGUGGGAAGGCCCAGACAGCCAGGAUGUUGGCUUAGAAGCAGCCAUCAUUUAAAGAAAGCGUAAUAGCUCACUGGUCGAGUCGGCCUGCGCGGAAGAUGUAACGGGGCUAAACCAUGCACCGAAGCUGCGGCAGCGACGCUGAUGCGUUGUUGGGUAGGGGAGCGUUCUGUAAGCCUGCGAAGGUGUGCUGUGAGGCAUGCUGGAGGUAUCAGAAGUGCGAAUGCUGACAUAAGUAACGAUAAAGCGGGUGAAAAGCCCGCUCGCCGGAAGACCAAGGGUUCCUGUCCAACGUUAAUCGGGGCAGGGUGAGUCGACCCCUAAGGCGAGGCCGAAAGGCGUAGUCGAUGGGAAACAGGUUAAUAUUCCUGUACUUGGUGUUACUGCGAAGGGGGGACGGAGAAGGCUAUGUUGGCCGGGCGACGGUUGUCCCGGUUUAAGCGUGUAGGCUGGUUUUCCAGGCAAAUCCGGAAAAUCAAGGCUGAGGCGUGAUGACGAGGCACUACGGUGCUGAAGCAACAAAUGCCCUGCUUCCAGGAAAAGCCUCUAAGCAUCAGGUAACAUCAAAUCGUACCCCAAACCGACACAGGUGGUCAGGUAGAGAAUACCAAGGCGCUUGAGAGAACUCGGGUGAAGGAACUAGGCAAAAUGGUGCCGUAACUUCGGGAGAAGGCACGCUGAUAUGUAGGUGAAGUCCCUCGCGGAUGGAGCUGAAAUCAGUCGAAGAUACCAGCUGGCUGCAACUGUUUAUUAAAAACACAGCACUGUGCAAACACGAAAGUGGACGUAUACGGUGUGACGCCUGCCCGGUGCCGGAAGGUUAAUUGAUGGGGUUAGCCGCAAGGCGAAGCUCUUGAUCGAAGCCCCGGUAAACGGCGGCCGUAACUAUAACGGUCCUAAGGUAGCGAAAUUCCUUGUCGGGUAAGUUCCGACCUGCACGAAUGGCGUAAUGAUGGCCAGGCUGUCUCCACCCGAGACUCAGUGAAAUUGAACUCGCUGUGAAGAUGCAGUGUACCCGCGGCAAGACGGAAAGACCCCGUGAACCUUUACUAUAGCUUGACACUGAACAUUGAGCCUUGAUGUGUAGGAUAGGUGGGAGGCUUUGAAGUGUGGACGCCAGUCUGCAUGGAGCCGACCUUGAAAUACCACCCUUUAAUGUUUGAUGUUCUAACGUGGACCCGUGAUCCGGGUUGCGGACAGUGUCUGGUGGGUAGUUUGACUGGGGCGGUCUCCUCCUAAAGAGUAACGGAGGAGCACGAAGGUUGGCUAAUCCUGGUCGGACAUCAGGAGGUUAGUGCAAUGGCAUAAGCCAGCUUGACUGCGAGCGUGACGGCGCGAGCAGGUGCGAAAGCAGGUCAUAGUGAUCCGGUGGUUCUGAAUGGAAGGGCCAUCGCUCAACGGAUAAAAGGUACUCCGGGGAUAACAGGCUGAUACCGCCCAAGAGUUCAUAUCGACGGCGGUGUUUGGCACCUCGAUGUCGGCUCAUCACAUCCUGGGGCUGAAGUAGGUCCCAAGGGUAUGGCUGUUCGCCAUUUAAAGUGGUACGCGAGCUGGGUUUAGAACGUCGUGAGACAGUUCGGUCCCUAUCUGCCGUGGGCGCUGGAGAACUGAGGGGGGCUGCUCCUAGUACGAGAGGACCGGAGUGGACGCAUCACUGGUGUUCGGGUUGUCAUGCCAAUGGCACUGCCCGGUAGCUAAAUGCGGAAGAGAUAAGUGCUGAAAGCAUCUAAGCACGAAACUUGCCCCGAGAUGAGUUCUCCCUGACUCCUUGAGAGUCCUGAAGGAACGUUGAAGACGACGACGUUGAUAGGCCGGGUGUGUAAGCGCAGCGAUGCGUUGAGCUAACCGGUACUAAUGAACCGUGAGGCUUAACCUU